GAUGAAGAACGUAGCGAAAUGCGAUAAGUAGUGUGAAUUGCAGAAUUCAGUGAGUCAUCGAAUCUUUGAACGCACAUUGCGCCCUGUGGUAUUCCGCAGGGCAUGCCUGUUCGAGCGUCAUUUCAACCCUCAAGCUCUGCUUGGUGUUGGGCCACGCCCUCGCGGCCGGCACCAAAGCCAGUGGCGGCGCCGUCCGGCUCUAAGCGUAGUACAUCUCUCGCUCUAGGGCCCGGCGGCUGCCUGCCAGAACCCCAAACUCUUAUGGUUGACCUCGAAUCAGGUAGGGAUACCCGCUGAACUUAAGCAUAUCAAUAAGCGGAGGA
RNAcentral lists this unclassified non-coding RNA (323 nucleotides) under soil metagenome. Its description in RNAcentral is "partial contains 5.8S ribosomal RNA, internal transcribed spacer 2, and large subunit ribosomal RNA". The stretch from base 1 to 120 matches the Rfam family "5.8S ribosomal RNA", at positions 35 to 154 of the family's 154-position model. The record is from RNAcentral.